This 204-nucleotide long non-coding RNA is filed under the name Elaeis guineensis (African oil palm). Its description in RNAcentral is "long non-coding RNA (EGUI_LNC039842)". The record is from RNAcentral. Lineage: Eukaryota; Viridiplantae; Streptophyta; Magnoliopsida; Arecales; Arecaceae.
GUCCGGAUGAAGUCUACCUGCAGUCAGAGUCGGGGACGAAGUCCGGCUCCCGUAGGAGUCCGGAUGAAGUCUACCUGCAGUUGAAGUCGGGGACGAAGUCCGGCUCCCGUAGGAGUCCGGAUGAAGUCUUCCUGCAGUUGAAGUCGGGGACGAAGUCCGGCUCUCGUAGGAGUCCGGAUGAAAUCUUCCUGCAGUUGAAGUCGG